ACAGAGCUGAAAACAUCAACCUCGUGGCAUUCCCAUCAACUCAUCAGCAUUUCUUAACUUGUUGAGUGUGGCUACAGCUCUUGAUGUGCCUUGCUGCCUCGCUUUAUUCGAGAUCAAGAGAUGCAUCAUUCUGGUGUCCCAGCACUGCUCUUUCCUGUUCUGCUCAAAGUCAAGUUUUGCAUGUACCCAGAAAAACAGCACAACAGUGGCACCUGUACCGUGAACAUAAUGGACAUGUUUAAAUGCUUAAGGAAAAAAUUCUUAUUGAUACAUGACUUCCUCACUCCCCCACCCCCACACAAAUUUUCCCUGUUUAGGCAAAAAUACCAAAUCUGUGCAACUGCCUCCUCCCUGACUCCUCACUGCUUUAUAAUGUAAAAUAAAGUUGAGUCACUCUUUACUUUUUAAAGGUAG
This 414-nucleotide long non-coding RNA is filed under the name Apteryx rowi (Okarito brown kiwi). RNAcentral describes it as "lncRNA (ENSARWG00000016610.1)". Lineage: Eukaryota; Metazoa; Chordata; Aves; Apterygiformes; Apterygidae. The record is from RNAcentral.